RNAcentral lists this ribosomal RNA (77 nucleotides) under Paractinoplanes ovalisporus. RNAcentral's name for it is "partial 23S ribosomal RNA". It matches the Rfam family "Bacterial large subunit ribosomal RNA", at positions 2848 to 2925 of the family's 2925-position model. Lineage: Bacteria; Bacillati; Actinomycetota; Actinomycetes; Micromonosporales; Micromonosporaceae. The record is from RNAcentral.
UUGGGUUGAUAGGCCGGAGAUGUAAGCCAGGUAACUGGUUCAGUCGACCGGUACUAAUAGGCCGAGGGCUUAACCAC